This 632-nucleotide ribosomal RNA is filed under the name uncultured bacterium. RNAcentral describes it as "bacterial SSU rRNA". It matches the Rfam family "Bacterial small subunit ribosomal RNA", at positions 144 to 794 of the family's 1533-position model. The record is from RNAcentral.
UAACAGUUGGAAACGACCGCUAAUACCGCAUAACCCGCUGGUGCCGCAUGGCACUGACGGAAAAGAUUUAUCGGUGUGAGAUGGACCCGCGUCUGAUUAGCCAGUUGGCAGGGUAACGGCCUACCAGAGCGACGAUCAGUAGCCGGCCUGAGAGGGUGAACGGCCACAUUGGGACUGAGACACGGCCCAGACUCCUGCGGGAGGCAGCAGUGGGGAAUAUUGCACAAUGGGGGAAACCCUGAUGCAGCGACGCCGCGUGAGUGAAGAAGUAUUUCGGUAUGUAAAGCUCUAUCAGCAGGGAAGAAAAUGACGGUACCUGAUUAAGAAGCCCCGGCUAACUACGUGCCAGCAGCCGCGGUAAUACGUAGGGGGCAAGCGUUAUCCGGAUUUACUGGGUGUAAAGGGAGCGUAGACGGUGAUGCAAGUCAGAAGUGAAAGCCCGGGGCUCAACUCCGGGACUGCUUUUGAAACUGUGUAACUGGAGUGCAGGAGAGGUAAGCGGAAUUCCUGGUGUAGCGGUGAAAUGCGUAGAUAUCAGGAGGAACACCAGUGGCGAAGGCGGCUUACUGGACUGUAACUGACGUUGAGGCUCGAAAGCGUGGGGAGCAAACAGGAUUAGAUACCCUGGUAGU